AAUAGAUACCCGGGUAGUCCACGCCGUAAACGAUGAGUGCUAAGUGUUAGGGGGUUUCCGCCCCUUAGUGCUGCAGCUAACGCAUUAAGCACUCCGCCUGGGGAGUACGGUCGCAAGACUGAAACUCAAAGGAAUUGACGGGGGCCCGCACAAGCGGUGGAGCAUGUGGUUUAAUUCGAAGCAACGCGAAGAACCUUACCAGGUCUUGACAUCCCAUUGGCCACUAUGGAGACAUAGUUUUCCCUUCGGGGACAACGGUGACAGGUGGUGCAUGGUUGUCGUCAGCUCGUGUCGUGAGAUGUUGGGUUAAGUCCCGCAACGAGCGCAACCCUUGUUCUUAGUUGCCAUCAUUUAGUUGGGCACUCUAAGGAGACUGCCGGUGACAAACCGGAGGAAGGUGGGGAUGACGUCAAAUCAUCAUGCCCCUUAUGACCUGGGCUACACACGUGCUACAAUGGACGGUACAAACGGUUGCCAACCCGCGAGGGGGAGCUAAUCCGAUAAAACCGUUCUCAGUUCGGAUUGUAGGCUGCAACUCGCCUACGUGAAGCCGG
Molecule: ribosomal RNA, 554 nt
Filed under: uncultured bacterium
Lineage: Bacteria
Description: bacterial SSU rRNA
Rfam family: Bacterial small subunit ribosomal RNA
Source: RNAcentral